This 709-nucleotide long non-coding RNA is filed under the name Gossypium barbadense (sea-island cotton). RNAcentral's name for it is "long non-coding RNA (GBAR_LNC002998)". The record is from RNAcentral. Lineage: Eukaryota; Viridiplantae; Streptophyta; Magnoliopsida; Malvales; Malvaceae.
AUUGAUUCAGUUGAACUGUGAUUCCAUCCUCUGUUCAGGCUUCAUCUGCUCCUACUUUAACAUCGGAACAGUACCAGCAACUUCUAACUAUUUUGUAGAAAGAUUCAUCUAUUUCUACUAUUGCUCACAUGGCUGGUACGGUCUCUUACUCUACAUCAUCUGGUUGUAUCCUUGACACAGGAACCACCAACCAUAUGACAUUUGAUUUUCAAUGCUUGAAUUCUUCUGCUGCUCUUGCUCCUAACAGCUCUUGUGUUCAAUUGCCUAAUGGGAAAUCAGCUCUGUUACUCAUAUUGACCAUCAUAUCAGUUCCCCCACUUAUAAGCUAACUAAUGUUUUAUACAUACCUGAUUUUAAUUAUAAUUUGCUUUCUGGUUCUCAGUUUACUAAAGACCUCAAUUGUUUUGUGUCUUUUUACCCUUCUUUUUACCUUUUACAGGACCUUUGCAAUGGACGGAUGCUGCGGAUUGGUAAGAACAUGUUGGUCGUACUACUUUCACCCACAUCAGCUCUCUUCUAGUCUUAUUCAUCCUCACAAAUUUGUCAAUAUUUCUUUUCCCAUUAUUACUUCUUUUAUGGCUUUACAUAAUGAUCCACAUGUAUAGCAUGCUCGCCUUGGUUACACCUCUAUUUCUACAAUGAAAAAAAUUGCUCAAUUAAAAUCUGGUUUACAUGAUCUUAAUGAAUUAUCUUGUUCUAUUUGUCCACU